CAUGUAGGCGGUUAGGCAAGUCUGAUGUGAAAUCCCGGGGCUCAACCCCGGACGUGCAUUGGAUACUGCUAGACUAGAGUACAGGAGGGGUGAGCGGAAUUCCAGGUGUAGAGGUGAAAUUCGUAGAUAUCUGGAGGAACAACGGAGGCGAAGGCGGCUCACUGGACUGUAACUGACGCUGAGAUGCGAAAGUGUGGGGAGCGAACG
Molecule: ribosomal RNA, 207 nt
Filed under: uncultured bacterium
Lineage: Bacteria
Description: partial 16S ribosomal RNA
Rfam family: Bacterial small subunit ribosomal RNA
Source: RNAcentral